CCCUUAGAUGUUCUGGGCCGCACGCGUGCUACACUGAGUGGAUCAGCGGGUCAGGUUGCGCGAAAGCGUUUCCUAAUCUUUAAAUCCGCUCGUGAUGGGGAUUGACGGUGGCAAUUUUCUGUCAUGAACGAGGAAUACCUUGUAAGCGCGGGUCAUCAUCCCGCGCUGAAUACGUCCCUGCCCUUUGUACACACCGCCCGUCGCUCCUACCGAUUGAGUGGUCCGGUGAGGCUUUGGGAUCUGAGCGGAAAGAGCGUUUCGCUGUUUCUGCUCGGAAAACUCAGUCGAACCUUAUCAUUUAGAGGAAGGAGAAGUCGUAACA
This 322-nucleotide ribosomal RNA is filed under the name uncultured eukaryote. RNAcentral describes it as "partial 18S ribosomal RNA". It matches the Rfam family "Eukaryotic small subunit ribosomal RNA", at positions 1470 to 1796 of the family's 1831-position model. The record is from RNAcentral.